GGGCAAUUAGCUCAGUGGUAGAGCGUUCCGUUCACAUCGGAAAGGCCGCAGGUUCGAUACCUGCAUUGCCCA
This 72-nucleotide transfer RNA is filed under the name Patescibacteria group bacterium. RNAcentral describes it as "tRNA-Val". It matches the Rfam family "tRNA". Rfam says of the family: Transfer RNA (tRNA) molecules are approximately 80 nucleotides in length. The record is from RNAcentral.